GAUCAUGGCUCAGGAUGAACGCUAGCGGCAGGCUUAACACAUGCAAGUCGAGGGGCAGCAUGAAAGUAGCAAUACUUUUUGAUGGCGACCGGCGGACGGGUGCGUAACGCGUAUGCAACCUACCCUUUACAGGGGGAUAACACUGAGAAAUCGGUACUAAUACCCCAUAAUAUUCCGGGAGGCAUCUUUCGGAGUUGAAAGCUUUGGUGGUAAAGGAUGGGCAUGCGUUGUAUUAGCUAGUUGGUAAGGUAACGG
This 255-nucleotide ribosomal RNA is filed under the name uncultured bacterium. RNAcentral describes it as "partial 16S ribosomal RNA". It matches the Rfam family "Bacterial small subunit ribosomal RNA", at positions 15 to 263 of the family's 1533-position model. The record is from RNAcentral.